Molecule: ribosomal RNA, 511 nt
Filed under: uncultured Desulfobulbus sp.
Lineage: Bacteria; Pseudomonadati; Thermodesulfobacteriota; Desulfobulbia; Desulfobulbales; Desulfobulbaceae
Description: bacterial SSU rRNA
Rfam family: Bacterial small subunit ribosomal RNA
Source: RNAcentral
CCUUGCCAGCCCGCUCAAGAAACUCAAAUGAAUUGACGGGGGCCCGCACAAGCGGUGGAGUAUGUGGUUUAAUUCGAUGCAACGCGAAGAACCUUACCUGGUCUUGACAUCCCGGAGACCCUUAGGAAACUAGGGGGUGCUUCCAUCUGGAAGAAUCUGGAGACAGGUGCUGCAUGGCUGUCGUCAGCUCGUGUCGUGAGAUGUUGGGUUAAGUCCCGCAACGAGCGCAACCCUUGCCUUUAGUUGCCAGCAGUUCGGCUGGGCACUCUAAAGGGACUGCCGGUGUUAAACCGGAGGAAGGUGGGGAUGACGUCAAGUCCUCAUGGCCUUUAUGACCAGGGCUACACACGUACUACAAUGGCCGAUACAAAGGGCAGCGACACUGCGAGGUGAAGCCAAUCCCGUAAAAUCGGUCUCAGUCCGGAUUGGAGUCUGCAACUCGACUCCGUGAAGCUGGAUUCGCUAGUAAUCGCGCAUCAGCCACGGCGCGGUGAAUACGUUCCCGGGCCUU